This 844-nucleotide small RNA is filed under the name Pongo abelii (Sumatran orangutan). Its description in RNAcentral is "retained intron". Lineage: Eukaryota; Metazoa; Chordata; Mammalia; Primates; Hominidae. The record is from RNAcentral.
CAGGACAAACUCUACAAACUGAGAUGUGGAAGGAAGGAAACAGAAUUCAUUUUCAAACCAAGGUCCAAGAAACUGGAGACAUUGUCAUUUCAAAUGCAUAUGUGGAUCUUGCACCAACAUCUGAUGCUUCAGCUAAGACACCCUCUGAGGGCGGGAAGCUUCAGAGUACCCUCGUAUUUGAGGAAAUAGGACGCCGCUUAAAGGAUAUUGGGCCUGAGGUGGUGAAGAAAGUAAAUGCUGUAUUUGAAUGGCAUAUAACCAAAGGUGGAAAUAUUGGGGCUAAGUGGACUAUUGACCUGAAAAGUGGUUCUGGAAAAGUGUACCAAGGCCCUGCAAAAGGUGCUGCUGAUACAACAAUCAUACUUUCAGAUGAAGAUUUCAUGGAGGUGGUCCUGGGCAAGCUUGACCCUCAGAAGGCAUUCUUUAGUGGCAGACUGAAGGCCAGAGGGAACAUCAUGCUGAGCCAGAAACUUCAGAUGAUUCUUAAAGACUAUGCCAAGCUCUGAAGGGCACACUACACUAUUAAUAAAAAUGGAAUCAUUAAAUACUCUCUUCACCCAAAUAUGCUUGAUUAUUCUGCAAAAGUGAUUAGAACUAAGAUGCAGGGGAAAUUGGUUAACAUUUUCAGAUAUCAGAUAACUGCAGAUUUCCAUUUUCUACUAAUUUUUCAUGUAUCAUUAUUUUUACAAGGAACUAUAUAUAAGCUAGCAUAUAAUUAUCCUUCUGUUCGUAGAUCUGUAUCUUCAUAAUAAAAAAAUUUUGCCCAAGUCCUAUUUCCUUAGAAUCUGUGAUAGCAUUGAUAAGUUGAAAGGAAAAUUAAAUCAAUAAAGGCCUUUGAUACCUU